Transfer RNA from Nadsonia fulvescens var. elongata DSM 6958, 106 nucleotides. It matches the Rfam family "tRNA". Rfam says of the family: Transfer RNA (tRNA) molecules are approximately 80 nucleotides in length. The record is from Rfam. Lineage: Eukaryota; Fungi; Ascomycota; Dipodascomycetes; Dipodascales.
GACACUUUGGCCGAGUGGUCUAAGGCGGUAGACUUAAGCUCGUGAUCAGUCACCUGAGUAAUCUACUAUUCGAAAGGAUGCAAGGGUUCGAACCCCUUAGGUGUCA